AAAUGAAUAGACGGGGGCCCGCACAAGCGGUGGAGCAUGUGGUUUAAUUCGAUGCUACGCGAAGAACCUUACCAGGUCUUGACAUCUUCUGCCAACCUAAGAGAUUAGGCGUUCCCUUCGGGGACAGAAUGACAGGUGGUGCAUGGUUGUCGUCAGCUCGUGUCGUGAGAUGUUGGGUUAAGUCCCGCAACGAGCGCAACCCUUAUUGUUAGUUGCCAGCAUUCAGUUGGGCACUCUAGCAAGACUGCCGGUGACAAACCGGAGGAAGGUGGGGAUGACGUCAAAUCAUCAUGCCCCUUAUGACCUGGGCUACACACGUGCUACAAUGGACGGUACAACGAGUCGCGAAACCGCGAGGUCAAGCUAAUCUCUUAAAGCCGUUCUCAGUUCGGAUUGUAGGCUGCAACUCGCCUACAUGAAGUUGGAAUCGCUAGUAAUCGUGGAUCAGCAUGCCACGGUGAAUACGUUCCCGGGCCUUGUACACACCGCCCGU
Molecule: ribosomal RNA, 493 nt
Filed under: uncultured bacterium
Lineage: Bacteria
Description: bacterial SSU rRNA
Rfam family: Bacterial small subunit ribosomal RNA
Source: RNAcentral